AUUGAACGCUGGCGGCAGGCUUAACACAUGCAAGUCGAGCGGGGUGAUGGUGCUUGCACUAUCACUUAGCGGCGGACGGGUGAGUAAUGCUUAGGCAUCUGCCUAUUAGUGGGGGACAACAUCGCGAAAGGGAUGCUAAUACCGCAUACGUCCUACGGGAGAAAGCAGGGGAUCACUUGUGACGUUGUGCUAAUAGAUGAGCCUAAGGCGGAUUAGCUAGUUGGUGGGGUAAAGGCCUACCAAGGCGACGAUCUGUAGCGGGUCUGAGAGGAUGAUCCGCCACACUGGGACUGAGACACGGCCCAGACUCCUACGGGAGGCAGCAGUGGGGAAUAUUGGACAAUGGGGGGAACCCUGAUCCAGCCAUGCCGCGUGUGUGAAGAAGGCCUUAUGGUUGUAAAGCACUUUAAGCGAGGAGGAGGCUUACCUAGUUAAUACCUGGGAUAAGUGGACGUUACUCGCAGAAUAAGCACCGGCUAACUCUGUGCCAGCCGCCGCGGUAA
RNAcentral lists this ribosomal RNA (503 nucleotides) under uncultured bacterium. RNAcentral's name for it is "partial 16S ribosomal RNA". It matches the Rfam family "Bacterial small subunit ribosomal RNA", at positions 30 to 523 of the family's 1533-position model. The record is from RNAcentral.